Molecule: ribosomal RNA, 1063 nt
Filed under: Pseudoalteromonas sp. HK3
Lineage: Bacteria; Pseudomonadati; Pseudomonadota; Gammaproteobacteria; Alteromonadales; Pseudoalteromonadaceae
Description: bacterial SSU rRNA
Rfam family: Bacterial small subunit ribosomal RNA
Source: RNAcentral
AUUCCCGGGAGCCUAAACAUGCGAGUCGAGCGGUAACAGAGAGUAGCUUGCUACUUUGCUGACGAGCGGCGGACGGGUGAGUAAUGCUUGGGAACAUGCCUUGAGGUGGGGGACAACAGUUGGAAACGACUGCUAAUACCGCAUAAUGUCUACGGACCAAAGGGGGCUUCGGCUCUCGCCUUUAGAUUGGCCCAAGUGGGAUUAGCUAGUUGGUGAGGUAAUGGCUCACCAAGGCGACGAUCCCUAGCUGGUUUGAGAGGAUGAUCAGCCACACUGGGACUGAGACACGGCCCAGACUCCUACGGGAGGCAGCAGUGGGGAAUAUUGCACAAUGGGCGCAAGCCUGAUGCAGCCAUGCCGCGUGUGUGAAGAAGGCCUUCGGGUUGUAAAGCACUUUCAGUCAGGAGGAAAGGUUAACGGUUAAUACCCGUUAGCUGUGACGUUACUGACAGAAGAAGCACCGGCUAACUCCGUGCCAGCAGCCGCGGUAAUACGGAGGGUGCGAGCGUUAAUCGGAAUUACUGGGCGUAAAGCGUACGCAGGCGGUUUGUUAAGCGAGAUGUGAAAGCCCCGGGCUCAACCUGGGAACUGCAUUUCGAACUGGCAAACUAGAGUGUGAUAGAGGGUGGUAGAAUUUCAGGUGUAGCGGUGAAAUGCGUAGAGAUCUGAAGGAAUACCGAUGGCGAAGGCAGCCACCUGGGUCAACACUGACGCUCAUGUACGAAAGCGCGGAGAGCAAACGGGAUUAGAUACCCCGGUAGUCCACGCCGUAAACGAUGUCUACUAGAAGCUCGGAGCCUCUGUUCUGUUUUCAAAGCUAACGCAUUAAGUAGACCGCCUGGGGAGUACGGCCGCAAGGUUAAAACUCAAAUGAAUUGACAGCGGCCCGCCCAGCGGUGGAACAUGGGGUUAAUUCGAUGUAACGCGAAUCACUUUAGCUAACUUGGUGUACAGAUACUGUACCAGAAAUGGGUUGUUGCCCUCCGGAAUCUGAUACGGGAGCUGCAUGGCUGUCCUCGCCUCUGUGUUAACUGUUGUUUAACUACUGCAAGAUUUAUACUCC